ACGAGCCCUGGAACACAAGUUGGACAGUUUUUAAAGGUCCCUGCGCUCGCCAAGAGAAGGAAAUAGAUGCUCAGGAGUGAAAUACCGAGAGAAUCGGAUCUGGCGCCUCCUAACGCAGCUGGCAAGCAGGCGAAGGUCCCGUGUAGAUUGAAGUAUCAGGGCAGCUUACAUACAGCCUGAGCGUCUGGCUUUGGGCAUUUGGGGAAGACUUUGCGAGAGUUCUACAUCUCCCUGAGCGAGGAUCUGAAGGAAACUUGGAAAUAACAGGAAAUGUCCCGGGGCCCCUGGGUGGCUCAGUCGGUUAAGCUUCCAACUUUGGCUCAGGUCAUGAUCUAUGAUCUCAAAGUUGGUUGGUGAGUUCAAGCCCGCAUGGGGCUGGCUCUGUGCUGACAGCUCAGAGCCUGGAGCCUGCUUUGUAUUCUGUGUCUCCUUUCUCUGCCCCUCCCCUGCUCAUGCUCUUGUCUCUCUCUCUCUCUCUCUCUCUCUCUCUCUCUCUCUCUCUCUCUCUCUCUCAAAAAUAAUAAAUGUUAAGAUAGGUAGGUAGAUACAUAGAUAGACAGAUACAUAGAUGGAAGACUCUGAGGAGACUGACCUUGGUCUUAGUUCACUACUUAUCCUCAGUCCCUAGGGCUUAGUUCAUAAAAUCUCUAUUUUCAGCUUCACUAAAUCUUAAACUGUACCUCUUUGAAGAUGCAAAGUUCUAAGAGGUUCUCUGAAAGUGCAACAGACAAGGUGGUGUGCCUGGGGAGGUGGUGCUCUACCCCUUUCUAGCUCCAAAGCCCAGGCUCUCCUCCACUCCAUCCCAGACUGCCUGGCCAUCUCAUGAGAUCUCCUGGGCAGAAAUUGAGUCACGGGGCCAAGGGGUGAGGGGAGGGGGGACAGGGGGCAGGGAACCAGCUGUCAUCGCAGGCAGCUGAGGCCUGCGAACCCCCUGGUCUGAGAGGCCCCUGGAGUUGCUGAUGCUGGGUGGGGAGAGGGGAAGCCGCUCUUUGCAUGUGAGCAUGGCUUCCCCAGGGCGAUGCAGGGGUUUUAUCACUGGUCACUAGCCACUUGGUGUCCCGGCUUGAUGGCCUGGAGUCUGGAGACCCUGGGCGGAAGGGACAGUGGCACAGAGCCUGCUGUGGGGGCAGGGCUGGGGCUGGUAGUGCCUCUGGGUCAACAGCAGCCCCAGAAUGACCUAGCGGGCCUUAGACCUCUGCUCCUGAUCUCUGGAAUCCAUUCAUCUGCCUGAGCCUUGACUUCAGCCCCUGCAUCUCCCACAGGCGAUCAUGCUUAAUGUCUGCCCUGGGCGUGGCAAGGACGCUUCAGCAGAGUUUUGUGAGUCCUCCACUCACCUGGGUCAACUUACCCACCACCGAUAAUAAACUCUUAGAAGAAAGUUUGAUGCUCCUUUUGUUAACACCACAAUCCUAGGCACUCAAUAGAGGCACAGCAAAGAGUAGAAUCCUCAGUCCUUCAAAGGUCCUGACUUCUUAGCCUGUAAGUUGUGUGCCUGUAGGUAAGUGACUUCACCCCUCUUAAUCUCAUUAUCAUUUCUACAAUGGGAAAAUAAUAGAUGUUUGGGAGAAUGAAAUGAAACCACAGAAACCCCAGUCAUCACACGACCUCGUUCCCUUUUCUGCUUUCAUUUUCUCUAGCACUGAUCACCAUCUAUCAGAUCUUUUAUUUAUUUGUUGUUUUUCUCCUCCCACUAGGAUGUCAACUCCACAAAGCGGCAAUUUUAAUCUUUUCUGUCCACCUCUGUACCCCCACACCUGUCAAAUAGAACUGAACCCAUGAGAUUCUCAAUAAAUAUUUGUUGAAUAAAUGAAUGGAUGGAUGCAAAGUGAUUAGCACUUGGUAAGUGCCCCAUAAUGAUCGCUAGUUUACCAUUGUGAUUAAGCACUCAGUCUCUGGAAUCUAACUGAAAGCGGAAUAAUUGAGGCAGGAGAAAUUUAGCAUCACGAUAGGAUGUUGGCACUCAAGCUGAGAAAUCCUGUGUGCAUCAUUUACUAGCUGUGUAAUCUGGUACAAGUGACUUUGCUUUCCUAAGUAAGGCUCAGUUUUCUCAUCUGUAAAAUGGAGGUAAUAAUAGCACCUCCCUGGUAGGAUGUGAAGAUAGGAUAAGAUGGUAAUGUAAAGCAUUUAGUAGAGUGUCUGGUAUAUAGUAAGUGCUCAAUAAACAGUAAUCAUCAUUAUUCAUUAUAGUAAUACUCAGAUGAGAGGUGAUGUCUAAGUCAAUUAAACCAUUGCUAAGCACUCAAAUAUGUCAGGGUCUAGCAGGCUCAAUUAAUGUUUAUUGACUUCGAUCUGUGAGCUCCUCAAGGAAAGAGAUUGUGUUUACAUUGUCAUGAUAUUGGCCUACAGUAGAUAUAUGAAGACAUGCUGGAAAAUUUACAUUCUGGAUUCAAAUAUCAGUGAGAACAUGGAAGAGCUACUAGAAUAAUAAGAAUACCAACGUCCUACUGUGCGCCAGGCACAAUGUUGGUUGCUGGAGAUAAGGCAAUGAGCUCAAACAAACAUUGUGGCUAUGACUUUCAGGCUAGUGAAACUUAGCAGAGUUGACAGACUUUGUUCCAAUAAUUGCACAGACAGAUGGAACAUUGCAACUAAGUGUAUCAUGACAAGGAGGUAUAGGAGGCUCUGACAUAUAGAAUGUGGGCAUGGAGAGGAUGGGGUUGACCUGGUCUUGGGUUGAGGAGGAAGUCAAGGAGCUUUUGUCAGCAUAGAGCUGAGCCCCAUGGAAAGAAGAGGUCUUGGCUAGGCUGAGGGUAGGGGAAGUGUUCUCAGCAGAAAAAAUAGCAGAUGUAGAGGCCUUAUGAUGGGGGAGUCCAUGUACUAAAGGAACUGAAAGAAAGCCUGGAUGAUCCCAAUGUAGUGAGCCGAUGGCAAGGGACAGGGGUGAAAUAAACUGGAAAUAGAAGUCGGCACUUUGGAAAUUAAUUGGGCAAUGUGUGGUAAAGCUGAAAGAGUGUACAACCUAUGAUCCAGCAAUUCCAACUCUAGGAACAUUCUAGAGAAACAGCCACGAGUGCACUGGGAAGCAUGAACAAGGAAGUUAGCCCUAGCCGCAUUGUAUGCAGUCUCAAAAAAACAGUGAAACAACCCAAAUGUUCAUCAACAGGAGAAUGGACAAAUUGCAGAAUGUUUUCCUUGGGUUCCUCAGAAAGCAGUCUGCACCAAAAGUUAGUGUAGUACUCCUUUAUCGGAGAAUGCAGUCCUGAGGAAGCAAGAGAGAGGAAAAGGGGCAGUGAGACAGGGAAAGAGGGUGAGUCCGUAUGAGGGUACCAAGGAGUGGCCAUAUUUACCACAGCAUCUUGGACAGUUCUGGGGGUCGGAAGAAGGGAAGAGAAUUAUCUGCUGGCUCCUGGUCCAACGUUUGCCCCAAGGGGUGUAAACCCCCCCCCCCACUUGGAGAUUACCCAUGUGUAAGCACCUCGGACGCCCCUUAGUGCUGCACAUGUCUGCCACAAGGAGAAGCCCGAGAUGGAAUCUAGUUGGCCAGAGCCCACACAGAAUCGGUCACCGUGUAAGGGUCAGGAUGGAACAGGUCACCAAGGGAGAUUGUCUGAGAAGGCAGGCUGAGAAGAGCUGAGGAGGCCUGUGACGUAUGUGAUGUAAUACCAAAUAGUAUACAGCAGUGAAAGAGACGUAUAGCUGCGUACGUGCACAUGAAGACUAGCCAAACAAUGUUGAGUUGAAAGGCAAGUUGCAGAAGAAGGUACAAGGUAAAGUUUAUUUAUAUAAGGUUCAAAAAGAAGCCAGUGUAGACAACAUGUAUAAAAAAGCA
Molecule: long non-coding RNA, 3769 nt
Organism: Neofelis nebulosa (Clouded leopard)
Lineage: Eukaryota; Metazoa; Chordata; Mammalia; Carnivora; Felidae
Exons: 3
Source: RefSeq, a predicted model, not a curated record